ACAAACGACUCUCGGCAACGGAUAUCUCGGCUCACGCAUCGAUGAAGAACGCAGCAAAAUGCGAUACUUGGUGUGAAUUGCAGAAUCCCGUGAACCAUCGAGUUUUUGAACGCAAGUUGCGCCCGAAGCCAUUCGGCUGAGGGCACGUCUGCCUGGGCGUCAC
Molecule: ribosomal RNA, 163 nt
Filed under: Katinasia cabrerae
Lineage: Eukaryota; Viridiplantae; Streptophyta; Magnoliopsida; Asterales; Asteraceae
Description: 5.8S ribosomal RNA
Rfam family: 5.8S ribosomal RNA
About the family: 5.8S ribosomal RNA (5.8S rRNA) is a component of the large subunit of the eukaryotic ribosome. It is transcribed by RNA polymerase I as part of the 45S precursor that also contains 18S and 28S rRNA.
Source: RNAcentral